RNAcentral lists this ribosomal RNA (482 nucleotides) under uncultured bacterium. Its description in RNAcentral is "partial 16S ribosomal RNA". It matches the Rfam family "Bacterial small subunit ribosomal RNA", at positions 29 to 523 of the family's 1533-position model. The record is from RNAcentral.
AACGAACGCUGGCGGCAGGCUUAACACAUGCAAGUCGAACGAUGAACCAGGGCUUGCCCUGGGGAUUAGUGGCGAACGGGUGAGUAACACGUGGGCAACCUGCCCCAGACACCGGGAUAACCUCUCGAAAGAGUGGCUAAUACCGGAUACGACCACUUUGGGCAUCCAACGGUGGUGGAAAGGAUUCUGGUCUGGGAUGGGCCCGCGGCCUAUCAGCUUGUUGGUGGGGUAAUGGCCUACCAAGGCGACGACGGGUAGCCGGCCUGAGAGGGCGACCGGCCACACUGGGACUGAGACACGGCCCAGACUCCUACGGGAGGCAGCAGUGGGGAAUAUUGCGCAAUGGGCGAAAGCCUGACGCAGCGACGCUGCGUGAGGGACGAAGGUCUUCGGAUUGUAAACCUCUUUCAGCAGGGACGAAGCGAAAGUGACUGUACCUGCAGAAGAAGCACCGGCUAACUACGUGCCAGCCGCCGCAGUAA